AACGAACGCUGGCGGCGUGCUUAACACAUGCAAGUCGAACGCGAAAGGGACUUCGGUCCUGAGUAAAGUGGCGCACGGGUGAGUAACGCGUGGAUAAUCUACCCGUUGGACCGGGAUAACAUUUCGAAAGGGGUGCUAAUACCGGAUAAGACCACGGAGUCUUCGGGCUCAGUGGUAAAAGGUGGGGACCUUCGGGCCUACCGUCGACGGAUGAGUCCGCGUACCAUUAGCUAGUUGGUGGGGUAAGAGCCUACCAAGGCGACGAUGGUUAGCUGGUCUGAGAGGAUGAUCAGCCACACUGGAACUGAGACACGGUCCAGACUCCUACGGGUGGCUG
RNAcentral lists this ribosomal RNA (337 nucleotides) under uncultured Pseudomonadota bacterium. Its description in RNAcentral is "bacterial SSU rRNA". It matches the Rfam family "Bacterial small subunit ribosomal RNA", at positions 29 to 351 of the family's 1533-position model. Lineage: Bacteria; Pseudomonadati; Pseudomonadota. The record is from RNAcentral.